CCUACGGGAGGCAGCAGUGGGGGAUAUUGCACAAUGGGGGGAACCCUGAUGCAGCGACGCCGCGUGGGUGAAGAAGCGCCUCGGCGCGUAAAGCCCUGUCAGCAGGGAAGAAAAUGACGGUACCUGAAGAAGAAGCCCCGGCUAACUACGUGCCAGCAGCCGCGGUAAUACGUAGGGGGCAAGCAUUAUCCGGAUUUACUGGGUGGAAAGGGGGCGCAGACGGCGAUGCAAGCCAGGAGUGAAAGCCCGGGGCCCAACCCCGGGACUGCUCUUGGAACUGCGUGGCUGGAGUGCAGGAGGGGCAGGCGGAAUUCCUGGUGUAGCGGUGAAAUGCGUAGAUAUCAGGAGGAACACCGGUGGCGAAGGCGGCCUGCUGGACUGCAACUGACGUUGAGGCCCGAAAGCGUGGGGAGCAAACAGGAUUAGAUACCCCAGUAGUC
This 440-nucleotide ribosomal RNA is filed under the name uncultured bacterium. Its description in RNAcentral is "partial 16S ribosomal RNA". It matches the Rfam family "Bacterial small subunit ribosomal RNA", at positions 338 to 795 of the family's 1533-position model. The record is from RNAcentral.